RNAcentral lists this long non-coding RNA (1356 nucleotides) under Homo sapiens (human). RNAcentral's name for it is "HSALNT0061596". The record is from RNAcentral. Lineage: Eukaryota; Metazoa; Chordata; Mammalia; Primates; Hominidae.
AAUAAAGCAGGCAGAAGUUGGGAAGAGCAGACUUGCUGAGUCUUCUGGCUUUCGUCUUUCUCCCACGCUGGAUGCUUUCCGCUCUCAAACAUCAGACUCCGUGUUCUUCAGCUUUUGGACUCUUGGGCCACAAGCAGUUUUCUUAGCUUCUGUUGACUCUGGCUAGAUUUUCAGAGUGAAGCCAGACCCAAUUUUCUGCGGGGCUGAAAUUUCACCAGAGGCGAGUUCAUUCAGAUUCCGGGUUAUUUACAUUUCCAGUCUGCAAUUUGAUCUGAUCAUCACUGGUUGAGGUGAAACAUCAAGAGCUUUACUAUCAUGUGGGCUGAGCUGGAUAACCCAUCCUGAAGGCUAUGGUAAAGCGGGGAGAAAUUGGGAGUCGGGAGAACAGUUGUUUUCUUUUUAUUUCUCAGCAGUAGAUUGGUAUGGAUGAGUUUCACAAACACCGUCUUUCAAAAGACAACUGAGAAAAGCUUGAAGAUUUUGCUGAAGAACCAAGAAGAGAGAAACACUUCCUGGCAUCCAAAACUGCCAGGGUGGAAAGGAAGGAAGAAUGGAAGGGGAGCAAAAAUGGCUUGUUAUGGGGCAGGCUGAGACAUGCCUAAGCAAAGGGAAGGGCUGCGGCAUUGCACUUCCAGUACUUUUUCCCUUCCUAAGUGGUGUAAAGAGCACCUGAAAAACUUCCAGAAUUGAUAAGAGAGUUUGCUACAAUGGUCAGAUACAAGAUAAAAUAUAUCAAAGUGAAUAAUUUUUCUACGUUUACCUAUUAGAAGAUCUGACACAAAGAAUACAUUUUCCAAUGUCUAUAAAAGACAUAAAAUAGCUAAUUAUCCUAUCAAGAAAUGUGCAGAGCAUACGUGAUAAAAACUGUAAAUCUUACUAAGAGGUAUUUUAAAAAUGGAAUAAAUGGAGAGACACAUAAUAUCAGUCAGGGUUCUGUCAGUGAAGGAGAACCAUUGAGUGCUGUAGAGUAAGAGAUUUAUCCAAUUGUGGAAACCCAGCAGAGAAGUCAAUGCUUGUCGUUUCUGCAUCUGGUGCUGGUGUCAUGUCAGUGGAACUGGAAAAUUGAAAAGAAAGAUGGUCUUAAGUUGGGGAGAAUAGGGACAAAAUGGAACCUGCAUCUUUCAUCACCUGCAGCCUCAAUGACACAGAUGAGAUGCAGGAUAAACUGGCACCCUUCACCAUGGGGAAUGCACCACAUGAACCCACCCUAGAUUUGGAGAAGCUGAAGGAGGAGAUUCUGCAUGAACUAGAGUAGCUGUGAAUCCAGCCACUGCUUCAUUUCCACCCUCCAAAUCUUGCAUAAAUUUCUCCUGUGACCAACCCUAACCAGAACCAUACAGAGGAGGAAAAUCUGAG